GAUGAAGAACGCAGCGAAAUGCGAUAAGUAAUGUGAAUUGCAGAAUUCAGUGAAUCAUCGAAUCUUUGAACGCACAUUGCGCCCCCUGGUAUUCCGGGGGGCAUGCCUGUCCGAGCGUCAUUACAACCCUCAAGCUCAGCUUGGUGUUGGGCCCCGCCGCCCCGGCGGGCCCUAAAGUCAGUGGCGGUGCCGUCCGGCUCCGAGCGUAGUAAUUCUUCUCGCUCUGGAGGUCCGGUCGUGUGCUCGCCAGCAACCCCCAAUUUUUUUCAGGUUGACCUCGGAUCAGGUAGGAAGACCCGCUGAACUUAAGCAUAUCAAUAAGCGGAGGA
Molecule: unclassified non-coding RNA, 329 nt
Filed under: soil metagenome
Description: partial contains 5.8S ribosomal RNA, internal transcribed spacer 2, and large subunit ribosomal RNA
Rfam family: 5.8S ribosomal RNA (bases 1-120)
Source: RNAcentral